CCUACGGGAGGCAGCAGUGGGGAAUUUUGGACAAUGGGCGCAAGCCUGAUCCAGCCAUGCCGCGUGAGUGAAGAAGGCCUUCGGGUUGUAAAGCUCUUUCGGCCGGGAAGAAAUCGUGGUCUCUAACAUAGGCCAUGGAUGACGGUACCGGACUAAGAAGCACCGGCUAACUACGUGCCAGCAGCCGCGGUAAU
Molecule: ribosomal RNA, 194 nt
Filed under: uncultured bacterium
Lineage: Bacteria
Description: partial 16S ribosomal RNA
Rfam family: Bacterial small subunit ribosomal RNA
Source: RNAcentral